UUCAAAUGAAAAUGCAACCUUUUGUAGCAAAAUUCAUAGCAUCAACAUUUGGACAUAUAUUUAACAACUAACACAUAGUAAAUUAAACUACUCCCGUCCGCCUCCUUGUGCCUACUCCUUCUGCAUCUCCAGGUUACCAAAUUUGAUGAAGAAAAUCAACUGUAAAGAACAAUGUCCAGGGCCUGCUCUCUCUAGUGUUCCAACUCCGUUCUUAAAUACCUAUUUGGGCAAAAUCUAUGUAGCUCCUGUGCAUGAUUUCUUUUGCUAGAUAUUGUUCACUUUUAACCUUUUACAUGUAUAUACAUGGUAUAUCAUUGGACAUGGCAUAACGAUAUUCCCCAAGAUAUGUGUUGAUGUGCUUAACUAUCUUCCUUCUACUGGCAUAAUGUGACAAAAUUGCAUGGUUCAGAAUCUUCGUGCUCCAUAUCUAAAACUAAUAUCAAUGUUCCUAUACAUUGCAUAUCUAUUUUUACAGAUAUCAGUCAGCGAUGUAAGCUUUUGCAAAUAUAUGUCAGUACAUUCUUCGUACUGAACCAUGUCCAGAAAAAAACCAACACCUUGGAUAGCUUAGAACUUGUAUCAUUCACACUCUGUAGGUGCCUUGCAUCUCUGGGUGUACAUUUAAUUGUUGAGGUCCUUCCGCAAAACACAAAAAAGAACAAAUACAAUCAACUGUCAUUGCAACAUGGACGAAGCUGAAUAUUACUAUGAACCAGUCACACAGAUAAAUUCAGAAAUUCGUAUGGGCCUGUCAGACACAUACCAGUGCAGCGUGUCGAGGCGGCGCGUCGAGCGCACCAUGCGUGUGAAGGGGCCGCGGAUCGACGACGGAGGAAGGCGCUCAUAU
RNAcentral lists this long non-coding RNA (847 nucleotides) under Triticum aestivum (bread wheat). Its description in RNAcentral is "long non-coding RNA (TAES_LNC027340)". The record is from RNAcentral. Lineage: Eukaryota; Viridiplantae; Streptophyta; Magnoliopsida; Poales; Poaceae.